AAUUCGAAGCAACGCGAAGAACCUUACCAGGUCUUGACAUCCCGAUGCUAUUUCUAGAGAUAGAAAGUUACUUCGGUACAUCGGUGACAGGUGGUGCAUGGUUGUCGUCAGCUCGUGUCGUGAGAUGUUGGGUUAAGUCCCGCAACGAGCGCAACCCUUAUCCCUAGUUGCCAUCAGGUAAAGCUGGGAACUCUGGGGAGACUGCCGGUGAUAACCGGAGAAGCGGGGAUGACGUCAAAUCAUCAUGCCCCUUAUGACCUGGGCUACACACGUGCUACAAUGGGCGGUACAAAGGGUCGCGAACCCGCGAGGGGGAGCCAAUCCCAAAAAGCCGCUCUCAGUUCGGAUUGCAGGCUGCAACUCGCCUGCAUGAAGCCGGAAUCGCUAGUAAUCGCGGAUCAGCAUGCCGCGGUGAAUACGUUCCCGGGCCUU
Molecule: ribosomal RNA, 432 nt
Filed under: uncultured Caldalkalibacillus sp.
Lineage: Bacteria; Bacillati; Bacillota; Bacilli; Caryophanales; Bacillaceae
Description: bacterial SSU rRNA
Rfam family: Bacterial small subunit ribosomal RNA
Source: RNAcentral